UACGUAGGGAGCAAGCGUUGUUCGGAUUUACUGGGCGUAAAGCGCGGGCAGGCGGCUUCGCAAGUUCGAUGUGAAAUCUCUCAGCUCAACUGGGAGCAGCCAUUGGAAACUACGAAGCUGGAGUCUGGCAGAGGUAGGCGGAAUUCCGGGUGGAGUGGUGAAAUGCGUAGAGAUCCGGAGGAACACCAGAGGCGAAGGCGGCCUACUGGGCCAGUACUGACGCUGAGCCGCGAAAGCCAGGGGAGCGAACGGG
Molecule: ribosomal RNA, 253 nt
Filed under: uncultured bacterium
Lineage: Bacteria
Description: partial 16S ribosomal RNA
Rfam family: Bacterial small subunit ribosomal RNA
Source: RNAcentral